GUUGCUUGGCGGUCAAUGCGCUUUCCUCCCCCUCCCCCCGGCUCUUCUCAGAAUAGGAGCAGAAGUUCGAACCAAGUUUGUGAAGAGGGUUAUCCAAUGAGGGCUCGCGCCAGCAGAAGAGUAGACCUGAGGAAACCAAGCGGCUAAAAACCCCGAGCAGAGAGAAAGGGGGGAAAAAAAAACCCGCAGAGGCGACGCGGCCGCUGAUUGGACCGUUUGAAUGAGACGCCGCCACGACUUGGCGUGCGCGCGCGCUCCUGCAUGGAGAAAGACGCGCACGCAACUAACGAACAGGGUUCAGGAAUGGAAUCAUGCCAGGAGAAUUCUGAGUGCUUGUGAGAACACUCCAAGAAAAGAUAAGAGUCUUGUGACUUCUAUUUCAUCAAAACAUGGAAUUGUUUUUGGAAUGUGUUUUUGUAGUCCUGUGUUUCUCCCAGAUGUAGCAGCUUGGAGUGAAUUUGCUUCAGAUUACCCCUAUUGGUUGCUGAUGUUACUCAAAUGUUUAAACUGUCUUUUAUAUGCCUCUAUGGAGAACAGGUUUAAACUGUCUUUUAUAUGGCUCUGUGGAAAACAGGUUUUUGUUUUGCAUGACUUGUUCUUGUGAUUGUACACAGCCUGAACUCAUGAAACCUUUACUCCUGUAACCUUUCUUAACCUUCAGAGUAUAUAAAUCACCAUUUCUCAACAUGUGGGUCUUGAUUCCUUUGAGUCGGGGGUUGAACAACCCUUUUACGGGGGCUGCCUAAGACCACUGGAAAACACAGAUACCUACAUUAUGACAUAUCAUAACGGUAACAAAACUACAGUACGAAGUAGCAAUGAAAAUAUUUUGUGAUUGGAGGUCACCACAACCUAAGGAACUGUGUUAAAGGGUUUCAGCACUAGGAAGGUUGAGAACCACUGGUAUAAAUUGUCUGAGGCAAUGAAUAAAGGUGGCUAUUGCCUGAAA
Rattus norvegicus (Norway rat) is the source of this 949-nucleotide non-coding RNA. The record is from RefSeq and is a predicted model, not a curated record. Lineage: Eukaryota; Metazoa; Chordata; Mammalia; Rodentia; Muridae.